Molecule: ribosomal RNA, 253 nt
Filed under: uncultured bacterium
Lineage: Bacteria
Description: partial 16S ribosomal RNA
Rfam family: Bacterial small subunit ribosomal RNA
Source: RNAcentral
UACGGAGGGUGCGAGCGUUGUCCGGAAUCACUGGGCGUAAAGGGCGCGUAGGUGGCGCGGGCAGUCAACGGUGAAAGUUCGGGGCUCAACCCUGAAUCGGCCGUCGAUACUCCCGGGCUUGAGCACUGUAGAGGCAGAUGGAAUUCCGGGUGUAGCGGUGGAAUGCGUAGAGAUCCGGAAGAACACCGGUGGCGAAGGCGGUCUGCUGGGCAGUAGCUGACACUGAGGCGCGACAGCGUGGGGAGCAAACGGG